UGGGGAAUUUUGGACAAUGGGGGCAACCCUGAUCCAGCAAUGCCGCGUGUGUGAAGAAGGCCUUCGGGUUGUAAAGCACUUUUGUCCGGAAAGAAAACGCCGUGGUUAAUACCCGUGGCGGAUGACGGUACCGGAAGAAUAAGCACCGGCUAACUACGUGCCAGCAGCCGCGGUAAUACGUAGGGUGCAAGCGUUAAUCGGAAUUACUGGGCGUAAAGCGUGCGCAGGCGGUCCGCUAAGACAGAUGUGAAAUCCCCGGGCUUAACCUGGGAACUGCAUUUGUGACUGGCGGGCUAGAGUAUGGCAGAGGGGGGUAGAAUUCCACGUGUAGCAGUGAAAUGCGUAGAGAUGUGGAGGAAUACCGAUGGCGAAGGCAGCCCCCUGGGCCAAUACUGACGCUCAUGCACGAAAGCGUGGGGAGCAAACAGGAUUAGAUACCCUGGUAGUCCACGCCCUAAACGAUGUCAACUAGUUGUCGGGUCUUCAUUGACUUGGUAACGUAGCUAACGCGUGAAGUUGACCGCCUGGGGAGUAACGGUCGCAAGAUUAAAAA
Molecule: ribosomal RNA, 553 nt
Filed under: uncultured bacterium
Lineage: Bacteria
Description: partial 16S ribosomal RNA
Rfam family: Bacterial small subunit ribosomal RNA
Source: RNAcentral